Molecule: ribosomal RNA, 466 nt
Filed under: uncultured bacterium
Lineage: Bacteria
Description: partial 16S ribosomal RNA
Rfam family: Bacterial small subunit ribosomal RNA
Source: RNAcentral
GACGAACGCUGGCGGCGUGCUUAACACAUGCAAGUCGAACGGAAAGGCCCUGCUUUUGUGGGGUGCUCGAGUGGCGAACGGGUGAGUAACACGUGAGUAACCUGCCCUUGACUUUGGGAUAACUUCAGGAAACUGGGGCUAAUACCGGAUAGGAGCUCCUGCUGCAUGGUGGGGGUUGGAAAGUUUCGGCGGUUGGGGAUGGACUCGCGGCUUAUCAGCUUGUUGGUGGGGUAGUGGCUUACAAGGCUUUGACGGGUAGCCGGCCUGAGAGGGUGACCGGCCACAUUGGGACUGAGAUACGGCCCAGACUCCUACGGGGGCAGCAGUGGGGAAUAUUGCACAAUGGGCGGAAGCCUGAUGCAGCAACGCCGCGUGCGGGAUGACGGCCUUCGGGUUGUAAACCGCUUUCGCCUGUGACGAAGCGUGAGUGACGGUAAUGGGUAAAGAAGCACCGGCUAACUACGUG